This 561-nucleotide ribosomal RNA is filed under the name uncultured bacterium. Its description in RNAcentral is "bacterial SSU rRNA". It matches the Rfam family "Bacterial small subunit ribosomal RNA", at positions 338 to 916 of the family's 1533-position model. The record is from RNAcentral.
CCUACGGGAGGCAGCAGUGGGGAAUAUUGGACAAUGGGCGAAAGCCUGAUCCAGCAAUGCCGCGUGAGUGAUGAAGGCCUUUGGGUCGUAAAGCUCUUUUACCAGGGAUGAUAAUGACAGUACCUGGAGAAUAAGCUCCGGCUAACUCCGUGCCAGCAGCCGCGGUAAUACGGAGGGAGCUAGCGUUGUUCGGAAUUACUGGGCGUAAAGAGUACGUAGGCGGUUAUUCAAGUCAGAGGUGAAAGCCCGGGGCUCAACCCCGGAACUGCCUUUGAAACUAGAUAACUAGAGUCUUGGAGAGGUUAGUGGAAUUCCGAGUGUAGAGGUGAAAUUCGUAGAUAUUCGGAAGAACACCAGUGGCGAAGGCGACUAACUGGACAAGUACUGACGCUGAGGUACGAAAGCGUGGGGAGCAAACAGGAUUAGAUACCCUGGUAGUCCACGCCGUAAACGAUGAUAACUAGUUGUUCGGUCACUUGGUGACUGAGUGACGCAGCUAACGCAUUAAGUUAUCCGCCUGGGGAGUACGGUCGCAAGNUUAAAACUCAAAGGAAUUGACGG